This 425-nucleotide RNase P RNA is filed under the name Butyrivibrio sp. RNAcentral's name for it is "RNase P RNA component class A". It matches the Rfam family "Bacterial RNase P class A". Rfam says of the family: Ribonuclease P (RNase P) is a ubiquitous endoribonuclease, found in archaea, bacteria and eukarya as well as chloroplasts and mitochondria. Its best characterised activity is the generation of mature 5'-ends of tRNAs by cleaving the 5'-leader elements of precursor-tRNAs. Lineage: Bacteria; Bacillati; Bacillota; Clostridia; Lachnospirales; Lachnospiraceae. The record is from RNAcentral.
UGAGCAGGACAAAUGAUCGCGGCUGCAGGUUCCGAAAGGACGCAGGUGAGGAAAGUCCGGGCUUCACAGGGCAGGAUGCCGGAUAACGUCCGGCGGAGGCAACUCCCGGGAUAGUGCAACAGAAAUAAACCGCCAUAGAUCGCAACCUGGUUGCUUUUUAGCAGUCAAAUGCCUUGCAUUUGACUGCAUCGGGUUUGCAGCUUAGGCCGCAGAUCCGGUUGGUAAGGGUGGAAAGGCAGUGUAAGAGACUACCGUGCCGGUGGUAACACCGGUAGCCAUGUAAACCCCAUUCGAAGCAAGACCGAACAGAAAGCUAUGAACCGGCCCGGUUCGCUUUCAGGUGGGUCGCUUGAGACUGUCGGCGACGACAGUUCUAGAUAGAUGAUCAUUCUCGACAUAACCCGGCUUACAGCCCUGCUCAUACU